RNAcentral lists this ribosomal RNA (253 nucleotides) under uncultured bacterium. Its description in RNAcentral is "partial 16S ribosomal RNA". It matches the Rfam family "Bacterial small subunit ribosomal RNA", at positions 524 to 776 of the family's 1533-position model. The record is from RNAcentral.
UACGGAGGGGGCUAGCGUUGUUCGGAAUUACUGGGCGUAAAGCGCACGUAGGCGGAUUGGAAAGUUGGGGGUGAAAUCCCAGGGCUCAACCCUGGAACUGCCUUCAAAACUCCCAGUCUGGAGGUCGAGAGAGGUGAGUGGAAUUCCGAGUGUAGAGGUGAAAUUCGUAGAUAUUCGCAAGAACACCAGUGGCGAAGGCGGCUCACUGGCCCGAUACUGACGCUGAGGCACGAAAGCGUGGGGAGCAAACAGG